UUUCUCGUUGAGCUCAAAGUGCCGACUUCGUCG
RNAcentral lists this small RNA (33 nucleotides) under Arabidopsis thaliana (thale cress). RNAcentral describes it as "ATSL307070". The record is from RNAcentral. Lineage: Eukaryota; Viridiplantae; Streptophyta; Magnoliopsida; Brassicales; Brassicaceae.